GCCGGGUGUGCUGGCACAUGCCUGUAAUCCCAGCUACUGAGAGGCUGAGGCACGAGAAUUGCUUGAACCCAGGAGGUCGAGGCUGCAGUGAGCUGAGAUUGUGCCACUACACUCCAGCCUGGGUGACACAGUGAGACCCUGUCUCCC
Unclassified non-coding RNA from Pongo abelii (Sumatran orangutan), 147 nucleotides. It matches the Rfam family "Metazoan signal recognition particle RNA". From Rfam's summary of the family: The signal recognition particle (SRP) is a universally conserved ribonucleoprotein. It is involved in the co-translational targeting of proteins to membranes. Lineage: Eukaryota; Metazoa; Chordata; Mammalia; Primates; Hominidae. The record is from Ensembl.